RNAcentral lists this long non-coding RNA (1458 nucleotides) under Marmota monax (woodchuck). The record is from RNAcentral. Lineage: Eukaryota; Metazoa; Chordata; Mammalia; Rodentia; Sciuridae.
UGAAGUUAAAUGACACUGUGUACUUAGAGGUUCAUUGAACUUUAUGAUGGUGCUGAAGUGAUACGCAUGCAUAGGAAUUGCACUUCACAUUUUUGUCUUUUGGUCUUUCUCAAGCUGGCGAUAUGUGGAGGAGUACUCCCUUAAGCUGGGCAUAGAGACAGAGCUGCAGUUCCCUGUGGGUUUUAUGAUCUGAGGAUAAACAACCCGUAUUCUGCCGUUUAUUGUGUUGCAAAGCUAUGAUAUUUGAUAGUAUUCACAGUAUUUUCAGCUUCCUAAUCUACUGAGUCAAUUUGUAUAAAACUUUGUACAUUGGUAUAAAAAUUAAUUUACUGUGUAGCCUCAGAACAAAAGGAUCCUUCAGAUCCUCUCAAAUACUGUAAACUUAAUUCUCCAAACAUUAGCAAAUAUAGCACCACUAUGAAAUCUAGUAGGCAUAAUACAGUCGCUGUAGAGUGAAAGAAAGAAUCAAUUUGUAGGUCCUUUAGGUAGCUCAUUAAGUAGUAUGUUUUUAAAUACUGAAUCAUUUUUGUUUAUUUAGAAUGUGUGAGAAUGGUAGUGAAUUAAAGGCAAAUCGGUAUUUAGGGAUGUCACUGUGCUUUGACAUAACUCUUGAUUGCUCUGAAAGUGAUUAGUUUCACUUCUGUAGCUUCCCUACCUCUAAAUCGUAAGGAUACAACCAGGCCUUUUCCUUUGUUUUCCUUGGUUCUUAGUGGAGGAUUUAGCAGAUAGUUGGUGCUUAGGAAAUGUGUAUAAGAAGAAAAAUGAACAAUUAAUGGCAUUUAAAAAUUGGUCUUAUGUUUUAGUUGGUCUUAUGUUAAAAUUACCAGCUAUUAAAAAUAGUAAAAGCCAUGUCAUUUAGAAAUCAAUAUACAAAGUUCAGUUAGUUCAGGUUGGCAUCACUGAUGAAGACAUGCUUACUCAAACUGGCUACUUUCAGUAGGAACCACUGUGGACCAGAUCCUUGCGUCAGUCCACAUUCAUUUUAGUUGUAGUGUAGACCGCAGCACAUAUCUUCUGUUUCAACAUCACUCUAAUUUAAGCAGCCCCUCAAGUUUGAGCUAUUCUCACCAAGCAUCUGGAGGUAUUUAUUAAUUCUGACCUUUUCAUAAAUGAGUAGUUAGGUCUUGAUUUUGCUUCUAAGACUCUGAAAAUGAGAGUUGUUUGAUCCAUCAUUUCCCAAUCUUUCUUGACUAUACAGUCUUUUUCUCCUCUAGUCUCACAACAUCCUAUUGAACUGUAAUUGGGAAAGAGGAUAAAUCUUAUUCCUCUCUUUCUAGUUAUUUGAAAGAAGCUCCCAAGCUUCUGACUCAUCUCCAGUUUGUAGUCUGUUUCUGCAUCCAGAUGUGUCCCAUUUUGUUAGUUUUGUCACUCUUGAAAUUCAUCUAGCAAUAUCUGCCAAGUAAUCAGUGGCUGGAGGAAAAAACCUUCCCAAUUCUUGGAUGAGACUUCUGUAUUUGU